This 254-nucleotide ribosomal RNA is filed under the name uncultured bacterium. RNAcentral's name for it is "partial 16S ribosomal RNA". It matches the Rfam family "Bacterial small subunit ribosomal RNA", at positions 524 to 776 of the family's 1533-position model. The record is from RNAcentral.
UACAGAGGGGGCUAGCGUUAUUCGGAAUGACUGGGCGUAAAGGGCGCGUAGGCGGAUGACACAGUCAGAUGUGAAAUUCCCGGGCUUAACCUGGGGGCUGCAUUUGAUACGUGUUGUCUGGAGUGAGGAAGAGGGUCGUGGAAUUCCCAGUGUAGAGGUGAAAUUCGUAGAUAUUGGGAAGAACACCGGUGGCGAAGGCGGCGACCUGGUCCUUUUACUGACGCUGAGGCGCGAAAGCGUGGGGAGCAAACAGG